CAGUUGGAAAUGCAGAAAUCACCCGUCUUCUGCGUCAAUCACGCUGAGAACUGCAGACCAGAGCUGUUCCUAUUUGGCCAUCUUGGAACCGGUCUGAGUCUGUUUUAGCCAGAUCAAGUACUUGGUGAGAGAACCUUUGUGGGAGCGCAGAAGUCCAGCAGAGAGACCCUAGCACUUUAUUUGGACCAAAAAAUAAAUAAUAAAUAAAUAAAUAAAUAAAUCCAAAACUAGAUGCAUUAAAGAAGCAGACACUUGAAGAAGCAUCUUUCUUGUGAUCUCCUGGCUGGUACCCUGAAGUCCUGUUAUGCCAAUGGACCAGCAACCCUCGCAGGUGGCUAAGGAACAAGCAGGCCCGCUGUGUUUCAGUGGCUUUCAGAGAAGGUGGCGGGAAAUAGUCUCUUCUCAGCAGCAGCUGAAUCCCAGUGUUAGCAGACGGAGCCUUGUUUCUUGAAAGUACAUUCCCAGGGAUUCCCUUGAAGAAUGUGAGAGAUCAGCUGGAAUGAAACUGGAUGUUUUAGGGUCCUGAGGGAAAUGUAAAUCCAGCAGCUUAUUCUCAAGAUGUGGCUCCAGAACCAGCAGCACUGAUUCUUCUAAAGAGUUGAGAGUGCAUUUUAGCUGUGAUAUCUUUGUACUCUUAAGAAAUCCUCCUCAACAAGACAAAACUUGACCAAGAGCAUUCAGUUGUCUUCCAGAAGGCUCCCUUGAGGACUGGGACUCUUCCUGGAUGCACCCAAUUAAUCUAUUGAAACAAGGACUCGUGAUGGCAGCCCCUCACCUGACAAACUGGAUUUUCCCCAGAGAUCAUUUGUAAUGUUUUUCCUGAAUCUUAUUUGUGUUUCCCUAUUAGCAAUGUUAUGUAUUUCUAUAUCGCAAAUCCUAAGUGCCGCCUGUAGAACCUAACCUCCAUUUAUAGCAUGGAACACACAGCCCAUCACGUAUCCUUGCCCUGGCCUUCAGCCUCUGAAUAUUUUAAUAAAAAUCACUCUUUCCUCCUUAAGGACCAUGUUCUUUAAAAGCUUAACACAUAGUUCUUAAUAAUUGGUUGCUUUACUUGAUGUUUCUCUGUUUAUCUUGGCUGCCCAGAAGCUCAGACUUAAAUGUAAGAGUCUACUUACAGUAACAACCUUGUUGCGGAUACAAUUAAUUCUCCCUAUCUUGUAUGUGGUUUCCGUUGUCUUUAUUUAUUAUCUUUAUUUAAACCUUUAAAAGAGUAUAGGAUAUCAAUUUAUGAAAAGAAAAAUAUUUUUUUUAGUUCAAUUGAAAUCCCUGUUUUGUACCACACUAUAUUUAAUGCCCCAUAUAGUUCUAAAACUCUGCAUGAUUCAAAGCAGGGGUUCUUAUUCUGGCGUGUGUGUGUGUGUGUGUGUGUGUGUGUGUGUGUGUCUGUAUGUACAUACCUC
This 1400-nucleotide long non-coding RNA is filed under the name Homo sapiens (human). RNAcentral's name for it is "HSALNT0301710". Lineage: Eukaryota; Metazoa; Chordata; Mammalia; Primates; Hominidae. The record is from RNAcentral.